GCCGGUGUGGCGGAAUUGGCAGACGCGGCGGAUUCAAAAUCCGCUUCGGGUAAAACCGAGUGUGGGUUCGAGUCCCUCCACCGGCA
Molecule: transfer RNA, 86 nt
Filed under: Phycisphaerae bacterium
Lineage: Bacteria; Pseudomonadati; Planctomycetota; Phycisphaerae
Description: tRNA-Leu
Rfam family: tRNA
About the family: Transfer RNA (tRNA) molecules are approximately 80 nucleotides in length.
Source: RNAcentral